Molecule: long non-coding RNA, 314 nt
Organism: Gallus gallus (chicken)
Lineage: Eukaryota; Metazoa; Chordata; Aves; Galliformes; Phasianidae
Source: Ensembl
GCUUCUCAGUUUUGCUGCGUCACAGUGUUAGGAAGGGGUGUUGGUGUGUUCUGCUCUGCCGUGCGUGGCUAACUUUUCAGUCUGUGGAAUGUGCUACUGAAAUACCCUCAGCAGUUCUGUACCUAUAUUUCUACUGAAAGAAAAUUCUGUAACUUCAAAAAUGGCAGUCUUCCAGAAAUGGAAAUACACUGAUCAACAGGAAACCUAAGGUCCAAAAUUGCAAAGGGUUGUGGCUACAGAUUUAGAUAGGAAUGAAGCAUACUGUCUGGAGAUCCAUGGAAUUCCUACCAAGAAGGAUGAAACUUUAUGCCAAG